Molecule: ribosomal RNA, 253 nt
Filed under: uncultured bacterium
Lineage: Bacteria
Description: partial 16S ribosomal RNA
Rfam family: Bacterial small subunit ribosomal RNA
Source: RNAcentral
UACGUAGGGUGCAAGCGUUAAUCGGAAUUACUGGGCGUAAAGCGUGCGCAGGCGGUUAUGUAAGACAGGGGGGAAAUCCCAGGGCUUAACCUUGGAACUGCAUUUGUGACUGCAUAGCUAGAGUACGGUAGAGGGGGAUGGAAUUCCGCGUGUAGCAGUGAAAUGCGUAGAUAUGCGGAGGAACACCGAUGGCGAAGGCAAUCCCCUGGACCUGUACUGACGCUCAUGCACGAAAGCGUGGGGAGCAAACAGG